ACAUGCAGUCGAACGAGAUCCUUAGCAAAGCUUGCUUUGCUAAGUCUAGUGGCGAACGGGUGAGUAACACGUGAGCAACCUGCCCAGAAGCAGGGGAUAAGCCACCGAAAGGUGGUCUAAUACCGUAUGUGAUACCAAGAGGCAUCUCUUGGCUAUUAAAGGGGGGGACCUUCGGGCCUCUCACUUCUGGAUGGGCUCGCGGCCUAUCAGCUUGUUGGUGAGGUAACGGCUCACCAAGGCAACGACGGGUAGCUGGUCUGAGAGGACGACCAGUCACACUGGAACUGAGACACGGUCCAGACACCUACGGGUGGCAGCAGUCGAGAAUCAUUCACAAUGGGCGAAAGCCUGAUGGUGCGACGCCGCGUGGAGGAUGACAGCCCUAGGGUUGUAAACUCCUGUCAUGAGAGAGUAAAGACUUAACGUUAAUACCGUUGGGUCCUGAUAGUAUCUCAAGAGGAAGGGACGGCUAA
Molecule: ribosomal RNA, 473 nt
Filed under: uncultured bacterium
Lineage: Bacteria
Description: bacterial SSU rRNA
Rfam family: Bacterial small subunit ribosomal RNA
Source: RNAcentral